UCUUUUGUCACUUUUAUCUUUUCACCACUCAAGUUUUCAUUCUUUUAUUUUUGCACUUACAGGCAUUUUAGGGUUUUAACACCAUCAAUCCACACUUUGAAAACCCUAAACAAUAUUCACGUACACAACAAGCAGACCCCCUAUCUCUCUCGUGUCUUGACCGGCGACCAGAGAUCGGAGCUCCGGCGCCACGUUUUUCUCCGGCGAAUCACUCACCCAUACACCCACACCCUUUUCUCACUCUCUCGCGCCGCUCCGACGACCGGAGAUCGAGGUUCCGGCCAGCUCCGCCAUCAUUUUCGACAACCACAACCACUCUCUGACACCCUCCUUGCUUCUCUGAUGAUGACGGCUGAAGAUGAUGUUUCGCUAUGAACAUGAUCGAAGAUGAUGAUAUUGACGCUGGUUAUGGUUGACGGCGACGGUUGUGCCUCGGAACUCCGGAAGCCGUGAUGUAUUCGUCCGGUGACGGCGGAGAGUCGCCCGCGACAGUGGCGACAGGGCAGUGGUGGUGGUUGUGCUAACAGGCCACUCCAUCUCAGAUACGUUCGGUUCAGUCAAGUCCGGCUUAGAUUCAGGCGACACGGUUCAACUCGGUUUGGUUCGGUUCAGGUUCUACUCGGGUCAGACGCGGUUCGGGUUUCACAAUGGGUCAACAGUACAAGAUAUCGCAUCUCAAUUCAUAGUACAAGGUAUCGCAUCUAGAUGUUAGUAGGUAGUGCCAAAAUACCUUUUGAAGCUGUUUAUUGGACCGAUUUUUGAUUCGUUAUGUGCAAUUAGAUGUUAGUAGGUAGUGCAUCUUAUUAGGAGUUUGAAUUGUUUAAAUAAGUGUGCUACUGUGCAAUUGGUUCAAGUAUUGAACAUUUGAACAACCGAAUUACUGUAAGGACACAUUUGCAUCUAAUUAGUUCCAUAGUUUUGUGUUUUGGUGAGAUUUUACGGUUUUCGCCGGUUUACGCCACGUGCUAUGUAUGUGAAGAUGUCUGAUUGAAAAUGAUGAUCGUUGGUUAUUUGGAACCUUAGACUCCUUGGAACAUAGGUUUCAAUUCAGUU
This is a long non-coding RNA of Helianthus annuus (common sunflower), 1053 nucleotides long. RefSeq lists it as uncharacterized. NCBI's taxonomy places the organism in Eukaryota, Viridiplantae, Streptophyta, Magnoliopsida, Asterales, Asteraceae. The record is from RefSeq and is a predicted model, not a curated record. The transcript is spliced from 2 exons.